This 107-nucleotide small nuclear RNA is filed under the name Colobus angolensis palliatus. The record is from RNAcentral. Lineage: Eukaryota; Metazoa; Chordata; Mammalia; Primates; Cercopithecidae.
AUGCUCACUUCGGCAACACAUAUACUAAAAUUGAAACGAUACAGAGAAGGUUAGCAUGGCCCCUGCGCAAGGAUGACACGCAAAUUUGUGAAGCAUUCCAUAUUUUU